AAGUUUUAGAGAGGCGGAGAAGGCCAGAACAAAGAGAGGGAGUGGAGAGAACAUGGCGGCGAAGGUUAAGAUUCCUCUCUAUGCUUAUUACAGAUUAUAGCAACUUAAUUAGUUCAAGAGGGUGUAUGGUGGCCGGAGGCACCGGGCUCCGACAUGGAAUUGGGAUGUGUAUGCCUGGCGCGGUGAAGGGCGGGGCGGCCUGACUGGGUGCCAUGUUGGAAUGGCUCACAGACAGCGGGUCAGAAAGUAGAUGGGGGCAGCGUGGAGCCACUAAGAUAAACUACCGCUAGUUCCAAGGGUCUGCUAGAGCCAGAACUAACGCAAGCGAACGGGUACGUGCGGGAACCGGUUCCAAGCGAUUUUUACUUUUACCGAAACAGAGCAGGCUCAACCGGGAGCUCCAGAGCUUGGUCGGAUUCUCCUGGAAAUGUCAGCAUGGACCCGGGAGGUUGGAUAACUCACGGAAGGUUUCUGUGGGAAGCUGUUUCUAUCAGGAGAUGAGGCAGCAGCGGAAUUGAGUUUAUAUUCUAAUCAAAGACUGAGUAAAGCAUUUAGCGGUCAGUUCAGGGCACUUCCCAGAGGCCUUGAACUGUUCUUACCAGUAAAUGCAAGUUCAUUAUCAAAUUAGGAAGUACUGUCGUCUAUUGGAAAAGAUUCUGGCGAAUGACAUAAUUGCAUCUAAAUGUUCGUUACUGUAGACUCGCUGUUUCCAAAUCCUUUUGUGUUGCUUUAAACACUGGGAAAUCAAUUUAAGAAGUGAUUCAAUUAUGGCUGACUGCAGUGGGUCAUAUCCACAACCUCAGUACUUGGAAGAUGGAGGCAGUGUGAUCACGAAUUCAAGGAGAGCCUGUGUAUGCGGUGAGACCUUGGAGAAGAGAGAGAGGCAGCAGCUUAAAUUUCUACCCUAUUAUGGACACAGUAACAGACAGUGGCAGUCCCAGUCUGGGACUGAAGAUAAGUCGUCCCCCAUGUGACCACCAGUUUAACCUGGGCUGCGGUCACAGGAGAUGCCUGAAGAAGAAAGAGUGUGCCUCCUGCUGUGACGUGUCAAGGCAGAAGAUCUGAGAGUUUCUGGAGGAAGAUGUGUCUGCCCCAGACAAGCCACCAUUUUAAAGAGCAGUUAGAAACUGACUGCACAGGAAGGAAGGAGGAAAGGACUCCCCGGCUCUUGGAAGAGCUUCCUCCUGCAAACCCUUAGCAGUCAGAGGGGAAUACUGAAGAAACUGCAGGUGUUCUCUGAGUUGCCUGAUGGGGUGAGGCACGUGGUGCUAGAUGAGGCUGGUUAUAAGGAAGUUGGGGGGGCAUAUCCUUGAGGUCAGUUCAAGAAGCAUUAGCCCCUGUACCAAAUGCCAAGCACACAGGGACUCAGACCUGGUCCUUAACCUCUGUAAGCUUAUCACCUGCUAAGAGAGCCCGAAAUACAAACAGAACUUCAAUACCGCGUGCCAGGGGCAAUCCCAGAGGACUCUAGUUCACCCUUAGGAGCUGGGGAGGACUCACUGGAGCCCCAAGAAGUAAGGAAGAAAUAAACAGAAGGUGAUGUAAACAGUAACGUGUUUCUGGCCAAAGGAGGAAGCUAGAAUUGCGAGCUCACAGGUGAUGAGGUGUGUUGUGUGCGAUCCGACCGAGAACAAAUACCUUCCGCUUGCUGGGCACACAGCAUGAAGCACACGUCUUGUUCACAAGAGAAAAGCGAAAGGAAGAAACAGAUAUUGGAGGGCACUGGUGUCCUAAGAGCUCCUACAGGUUCCGAAGGGCUGCAGAGUUUCAGUCAGAAGAGCAUACACUUAACACUGCUCACUGAUAACAGCGCCAUCCGUGGUAGAUUUGAGGGAGACGGGCCUGAUGGGAAGGGCAGUCAGCAGACUCGGGUGGCUUAAAGGAAGAUACACUAGAGUGGAUGGAGAGUUGGAAGCUAACCUGAGAGAGUUUAGGAGGCAAGAUGGAUUCCCAGCACUCACGCAGGGGUUUGUAACUGCCUGUAACUCCAGUCCCAAGAAACCUAACCCCUCUUCUUACCUUUUCAGGCACAUUCGUACAUGCAAGCAAAACACUUAUAGGCUUAAAAUAAAUCUAAAACUUAAAUGUUUUAACCUCAGGAUACAAGAGGAGGAGGGCCCUAAAGGCAUACCUCCAAUGACCUACUUCCUCCAGUUAGGCUCCACCCACCUUCCAUCACCUCUCAAGAAGGCCAUUGGUUUAUGACUCCUAGAGGAAUUAAACCUAUUCAUUAGGUCAGAGUUGGUCUCGGGCUUUUGUCAGUCCAUUAAGCCGAUAAUGAAGAUCGACUAACACACUAGCAGUGGUAAGCUAAAAGCAACCCUGUGUGCAAACGGCCCUCUCAAAACCAACACGCAAAAGCGGGGAAUGGCUCUUCUACGAGCUGCUUUCAUAAGCAAGUUCCUGGGGUAGCGGUACUACGGAUAAGGGUAUAGAACGUUAGGUACACAAGUCAGCCGUGCUCGAUAUACGUUCCAGGUGCUGCCCGUGUGACUGAGCGUUGCUGUGCAAGCUCCGAACGUUUUGUUCUUGAACUCUGGUGCUCUGGCUACAAAUGGGAUCUGUAAUGUUAUGCUAAUAAGAAGCGGUAUUGUCAGAGAAGCCAUCAUUAAAGCAGUCUGCGUAGCUGUCGGGUGGCCUGCCUAUUUCCAACUUUAUGUAGAGUGAGUGGCAAUUUGUAGCCUAGUGCCAGCAGCAGAAGUGUGAUUAGGACAAUAAAGAUAUUCACGAAAUAUGUAAACUCAGCUUUUCAGGGCUUUCAAUAUCUUUAAAAGGAAAAAAAAAAAAAGAAACCCUGCUAGUUCAGUCCAAAAUGAAACCUUUCUUUCAAGAUUUUUUUUAAUGGAACUGGAACAUUUGAACUGAUUUAUAAAUGCACAAUUCCCUGCAUAUUUAUUUAAUCAAUUCGCCUAUAACGCUGGCCAUUUGUAUGAGGCUGUAUAGCUCUAGACACUCUUAGAGUCCAUUCGACUGAUUCAGGUAAAUUUUUCAAUGGUGUAGGGGUUGCUGAGGAGAGAGAUGUUGCAGGAUAUUUGAUCACACUGCGAAUCUUGAGAUUGUGUUCUUUACUGGGGGGGAAAAAAAAACCCUGUUUUUAGUUGUGGUGUGGCCCAGCCGUAGCAUACACCUUUAAUUCAAGAGCUUUCUGCUUGACUAUUGUAAGUGGGGUUAAAUAAAGUCAACCAUUAGGUCAAGAGGCAGAGCAAGCAACCAAAUGACGGGCGGUGAACAAAAGAUUAUUAAAAACCGGGAGUCAGGAAGGCAGAUAGAACAGGAAGUAGAAGGCAGAGACACUCAGUUUGAAAGAGGUUCUUUUGAGACCGUGUGAGAGAGGGACCUUCAGGGCUGUCAGCUGAGGAGAAAGGUGAGCUGGGUGCUUUCUUUGUCUCUCACCCCAGCAUCUGGCUUCUGAGUCUUCAUUGUUAAAACUGAACAACUGAGAUUUUGUUUAAAAAACAAAUAAACAAAACAGAAACCAGACGGCUCAGCUAUUAAGAGCUCUUCUGUCCUUCAAGUAGGUUCCGUUUUCCGGCACCCAAGCUGGGCAGCUCACAACCGUCUAUACCUAAAACUGAAGCUCGUAAGGGACAUGUAUGACGCCUUCUUCUAGCCUCUGCAGCCGUAAACACAUGCGGCACACACACUUACAAGCACACACGAAACUAAAAAUUUUAAAUUUUACCCAGUGGGAUAAAAGUUUGCACUCAAGAUCCCAGUAAUAAGAGGAUCUGGAUAUUGAAACUGAAAUGGUCCGCAAAUCUCUAUUGGUUUUAUGGUGGUUCCAAUGAGUAGUGCCCCCACAGAGACUCACGUAUUUAAACACUUGGCUCUCAGUUGGUGCCACUGUUUGGAGGAUCAGGAGUUGCAGCCCUGCUGAAGGGAGUAUAUGACUAGGACAAGAGUGGACGUAAAUAGCCUCUCCCUACUCCUGCUUCACCUUCUCUUGUCUUGAUGUGUUCAUCAAGCGAUGCCCUUGAAGCCCUCCAUUGUUGAUGUUAUUAUUAUGGUUAGCAUUAAGUAUGACUGGGUUCAUGGAAAACCCCCAGCCAGCUGCAGUAGACUAAUACAAAUCUGGUGGUCAAAAUGAGUAAUAAUAUGAUACGUCAAGACGCCCAAUGCGAUGACCUGUAACCUUUCCAAAAAACCAACAUCCUGCUGACUAAUAGUUGUGACAAACCUGUGACCUUUCUGACAUCCUGUCAACAUCAGCUGAUUCCCUGACCACACGAAUAUUAUGUCCUUGGCCUGCGUAAAUGAUUCUUACUUCCCCCCUUCCUCUGUUACCCCUGUUAUGGUAUAAAUUCAGCCUUGGGGAAAAAUAAAAUUGUCGCCUUGAUCAGA
Non-coding RNA from Rattus norvegicus (Norway rat), 4341 nucleotides. The record is from RefSeq and is a predicted model, not a curated record. NCBI's taxonomy places the organism in Eukaryota, Metazoa, Chordata, Mammalia, Rodentia, Muridae.